UGCAUGACGUUAUUGUAUGUAA
Molecule: non-coding RNA, 22 nt
Filed under: Rattus norvegicus (Norway rat)
Lineage: Eukaryota; Metazoa; Chordata; Mammalia; Rodentia; Muridae
Source: RNAcentral